This 732-nucleotide ribosomal RNA is filed under the name uncultured eukaryote. RNAcentral describes it as "SSU rRNA". It matches the Rfam family "Eukaryotic small subunit ribosomal RNA", at positions 672 to 1426 of the family's 1831-position model. The record is from RNAcentral.
GGCGUGUACUGCUUGGCUGGGCCUUACUUCUUGGUGAGCCGGCGUGCCCUUUAUUGGUGUGCGUCGGGGAACCAGGACUUUUACCUUGAGAAAAUUAGAGUGUUCAAAGCAGGCCUAUGCCUGAAUACAUUAGCAUGGAAUAAUAGAAUAGGACGUGCGGUUCUAUUUUGUUGGUUUCUAGAGUCGCCGUAAUGAUUAAUAGGGACAGUUGGGGGCAUUGGUAUUGAGUCGCUAGAGGUGAAAUUCUUGGAUUGACUCAAGACCGACUAUUGCGAAAGCAUUUGCCAAGGAUGUUUUCAUUAAUCAAGAACGAAGGUUAGGGGAUCGAAAACGAUCAGAUACCGUUGUAGUCUUAACAGUAAACUAUGCCGACUAGGGAUCGGAUGACCUCAAAAUUGAUGUGUCAUUCGGCACCUUACGAGAAAUCAAAGUCUUUGGGUUCUGGGGGGAGUAUGGCCGCAAGGCUGAAACUUAAAGGAAUUGACGGAAGGGCACCACCAGGUGUGGAGCCUGCGGCUUAAUUUGACUCAACACGGGGAAACUCACCAGGUCCAGACAUAACUAGGAUUGACAGAUUGAUAGCUCUUUCAUGAUUUUAUGGGUGGUGGUGCAUGGCCGUUCUUAGUUGGUGGAGUGAUUUGUCUGGUUAAUUCCGAUAACGAACGAGACCUUAACCUGCUAAAUAGCCAGGCCGGCUUCGGCUGGUCUCUGGCUUCUUAGAGGGACUGUCAG